AUCGCUUCUUGACCUUUUGGCCAAGACCAAGUGUAAUACCUGUUCUUAUCAGUGUAAUAUCUGAUACGUCCUCUAUCCGAGGACAUUAUAUUAAAUGGAUUUUUGGAAUUAGGAGAUGAACUAGGAGCUGCUCCGUCCACUCCACGCAUCUACCUGGUAUUGCAGUACUUCCAGGAAUGGUGCAGUCCCC
RNAcentral lists this small nuclear RNA (190 nucleotides) under Neogale vison (American mink). RNAcentral's name for it is "Neovison vison (American mink) U2 spliceosomal RNA (ENSNVIG00000010935.1)". It matches the Rfam family "U2 spliceosomal RNA". From Rfam's summary of the family: U2 is a small nuclear RNA (snRNA) component of the spliceosome (involved in pre-mRNA splicing). Complementary binding between U2 snRNA (in an area lying towards the 5' end but 3' to hairpin I) and the branchpoint sequence (BPS) of the intron results the bulging out of an unpaired adenosine, on the BPS, which initiates a nucleophilic attack at the intronic 5' splice site, thus starting the first of two transesterification reactions that mediate splicing. The record is from Rfam by way of RNAcentral. Lineage: Eukaryota; Metazoa; Chordata; Mammalia; Carnivora; Mustelidae.